UUUCCUGUUGCAGGGAAGUAGGUGUAAAUUAUUGUUCCGUCAUCUACAAGCAGUUAGAGAAACUGGUGGCUGAUGACGUCACUAAAAAGGUACAAACCGAGGCUAAAAAGAUUAUUGGCUCUGGAGUUCAAGAAGGUGGUGACUGUUCACCGCCACAGAAGGCUCGGCAGGAGUAACCAGCGAGGACCUUAGUAUCGCCAUAUUUGAGCUGUACCUGGCGUUUCAGGAAUUCUUCAAUUUUCGAGAAAAGUUACC
This is a long non-coding RNA of Limulus polyphemus (Atlantic horseshoe crab), 255 nucleotides long. RefSeq lists it as uncharacterized. The transcript has 3 exons. NCBI's taxonomy places the organism in Eukaryota, Metazoa, Arthropoda, Merostomata, Xiphosura, Limulidae. The record is from RefSeq and is a predicted model, not a curated record.